AACGCGAAGAACCUUACCUGGGUUUGAUAUGUACUGGAAGACUACCAGAAAUGGUGUCGCCUUCGGGCCGGUACACAGGUGCUGCAUGGCUGUCGUCAGCUCGUGUCGUGAGAUGUUGGGUUAAGUCCCGCAACGAGCGCAACCCUUGCGAAUAGUUGCCAGCAUUUAGUUGGGCACUCUAUUCGGACUGCCGACGUUAAGUCGGAGGAAGGUGGGGAUGACGUCAAGUCCUCAUGGCCUUUAUAUCCAGGGCCACACACGUGCUACAAUGGCCGGUACAAAGGGAAGCCAAGUCGCAAGAUGGAGCUAAUCCCCCAAAACCGGUCUAAGUUCGGAUUGGAGUCUGCAACUCGACUCCAUGAAGCUGGAAUCGCUAGUAAUCGUGGAUCAGCACGCCACGGUGAAUACGUUCCCGGGCCUUGUACACACUGACUGUAC
Molecule: ribosomal RNA, 438 nt
Filed under: uncultured bacterium
Lineage: Bacteria
Description: bacterial SSU rRNA
Rfam family: Bacterial small subunit ribosomal RNA
Source: RNAcentral